GAUGAAGAACGCAGCGAAAUGCGAUACUUGGUGUGAAUUGCAGAAUCCCGUGAACCAUCGAGUCUUUGAACGCAAGUUGCGCCCGAAGCCAUUAGGCCGAGGGCACGCCUGCCUGGGCGUCACACGUCGUUGCCCCCCCAUCUACUCCUUCGGGAUUGCGGGGGGCGGAUGAUGGCCUCUCGUGCGCCUCGUCGCGCGGUUGGCCUAAAUGCCAAGUCCUCGGCGACGCACGCCACGACAAUCGGUGGUUGCGAAACCUCGGUUGCCUGUCGUGUGCGGUCGUCGAGCAUCGAGGGCUCGAAAAAAUUGCCGGGCUUCGGCUCGACUUUCAACGCGACCCCAGGUCAGGCGGGGUUACCCGCUGAAUUUAAGCAUAUCAAUAAGCGGAGGA
This 391-nucleotide unclassified non-coding RNA is filed under the name soil metagenome. Its description in RNAcentral is "partial contains 5.8S ribosomal RNA, internal transcribed spacer 2, and large subunit ribosomal RNA". The stretch from base 1 to 122 matches the Rfam family "5.8S ribosomal RNA", at positions 35 to 154 of the family's 154-position model. The record is from RNAcentral.